Molecule: unclassified non-coding RNA, 488 nt
Filed under: Hevea brasiliensis (rubber tree)
Lineage: Eukaryota; Viridiplantae; Streptophyta; Magnoliopsida; Malpighiales; Euphorbiaceae
Source: RNAcentral
GAAGCCCUUAGAGCCCAGGUUAAUGCAGAGGAGCAGGAUGAGCAGACUUCAAGUUCUACCAGCAGCAGUGGUAGUGGAAGCAGUGGAAGUGGGAGCGGUAGUGGGAGCAGCAGUAGCAGUGACAGUGAAGGCAGUGAUGAAGAUUCGGUUAACUCUAUUUGAGUGUUUGAACAACUCUCAGAAAACAAUGAGAGUACCAAAUUGGUAUUUAGAAAACUUUCCCGUCUAACAGAAUAAGCCAUCCUGGUUUUAGGGUGAGGCACUUUCCUUAUGAACGCUUUAUGGUGUGCAAAUAAUUUAGCCAUGUUGAGUGUCAAAGAUUAUCAGGUGUCUUGUAUUUUUGUGAGUAUAAGGUUGGAAGGACACAAUGAGACUGCCUUUGGAUAUUAAGAAAGAGUAUUUUUCAGAUUGAUUUUGGUAUUUUCGUAGUUGGUAGAACAUUGAAGGGUUGUGUGAGAAUAGAUAUGGAAUAAGAGAGAUAUAUGGAC